This 76-nucleotide transfer RNA is filed under the name Chloroflexota bacterium. Its description in RNAcentral is "Chloroflexi bacterium (marine sediment metagenome) tRNA-Ala". It matches the Rfam family "tRNA". From Rfam's summary of the family: Transfer RNA (tRNA) molecules are approximately 80 nucleotides in length. Their secondary structure includes four short double-helical elements and three loops (D, anti-codon, and T loops). The record is from RNAcentral. RNAcentral also lists the same sequence under 1 other name. Lineage: Bacteria; Bacillati; Chloroflexota.
GGGGCUGUAGCUCAUCUGGGAGAGCGCGGCGUUCGCAAUGCCGAGGCACGGGGUUCAAGUCCCCGCAGCUCCACCA